UAGAAAGCCUGCAGCUCCAAGAGACUUGUUGUCAAAACUGGAUGGUCAUGGCACUUAAACUAUUGGGAAUCCAGGAUGCUACUGCACCACUUAAAAAUGGAAACUCAUGUCUGUAGAAACCCUUGAUAUGUGAAGCUGACUGUGGUUGGGGUUCUUUCCUGGUUGGUUAAGGGCACCACUUUCAGAUAAAACAUAGACCUGAAUGGCAUCAUCCAGUAUCCAAGGAAACCAUAAACCUGAAGUGUAAUGUUGUGACAUACUACGAAGAGUACUUGAGAUUGAACCUAGAGUCUUAUGAAUGCAAGGUACCUUGGGAUUUGAAGGCUUCACCAACUCCCGCUGGAAAGGAAUGGAUGAAUGAGCUAUCAUGCAGUGAUGGUUACAGAUGCCCAGUCCUCGGUGCUGCCCUGUCCAAGAUUAUUCUCCAGUCCAGCUCCUGGGUGAUCUUGCCAGUUCCAGGAUACUGCAAGGCAGAUCUGCAGCAGGGAUUCAGCAGCUGCAAACGAUGGAGGGUGUAAAGCAUCUCUGACUCACUGCAGAGGAGUAAAGAGAAGGAAAUUACCAAUGAUCU
This 571-nucleotide long non-coding RNA is filed under the name Cricetulus griseus (Chinese hamster). RNAcentral describes it as "lncRNA (ENSCGRG00015039424.1)". The record is from RNAcentral. Lineage: Eukaryota; Metazoa; Chordata; Mammalia; Rodentia; Cricetidae.